GGACUACCAGGGUUUCUAAUCCUGUUUGCUACCCACGCUUUCGUACACUCAGCGUCAGUGAUGGUCCAGUAAGCUGUCUACACCACAGGUGUUCCUCCUGAUAUCUACGCAUUUCACCGCUACACCAGGAAUUCCGCUUACCUCUCCCAUACUCGAGCACUCCAGUUUCCGGCGCACCCUCCCAGUUGAGCCGGGAGAUUUCACACCAGACUUAGAGCACCGCCUACGUACUCUUUACGCCCAGUAAUUCCGAACAACGCUCGCUGCCUACGUAUUACCGCGGCUGCUGGCAC
This 293-nucleotide ribosomal RNA is filed under the name uncultured Acidobacteriota bacterium. Its description in RNAcentral is "uncultured Acidobacteria bacterium partial 16S ribosomal RNA". The record is from RNAcentral. Lineage: Bacteria; Pseudomonadati; Acidobacteriota.